AACUCGUUCGUAUUCAGCCAACGGUUCUGGGUUCGGUYUUGUUGUGUUUCAGUUUUGUGCACGCAGGAUCGAGCGCCURGGUUCCAAGGUGCAUUUGCGGACGAUUGCGCCGAGACUUGUGGGGCAGCGGUAGGACCCGGUUCAUGAGGCCUCCUUUUGGUUGUACCCUGAACUGGUAUACGACUGUUUGCUCUGCUCGUAAUGUUGGUUCGGCCUCGGGUGAAACUGCCGUUGGCGUUCUCUUGUGGUGGCAACAGCACGCUUUGCCUAACUUGGGGAUUCCGGCUGCGGUGGAGCUCUCGAACUGUCUCUCGGUGUAAAAGCUGGUCAUCUAUCCGACCCGUCUUGAAACACGGACCAAGGAGUUUAGCGUAUGUGCGAGCCACUGGGUAUUGCAAAACCUAUGGGCACAAUGAAAGUGAAGGCUCGGUCGCCGAGCUUACAUGCGACCGUGCUAGCUUCGGCUGGUGCGGGCAGCAUGGUCCCGUUUCAGUCGCUUGCGACGGAGCGGAGACAG
RNAcentral lists this ribosomal RNA (517 nucleotides) under Tylenchulus semipenetrans. RNAcentral describes it as "partial large subunit ribosomal RNA". Lineage: Eukaryota; Metazoa; Nematoda; Chromadorea; Rhabditida; Tylenchulidae. The record is from RNAcentral.